RNAcentral lists this long non-coding RNA (620 nucleotides) under Physcomitrium patens. RNAcentral describes it as "long non-coding RNA (PPAT_LNC010869)". Lineage: Eukaryota; Viridiplantae; Streptophyta; Bryopsida; Funariales; Funariaceae. The record is from RNAcentral.
GGUUAGGAUUUCAUUUAGGCUUAGGAUUUGGUUUAGGAUUUGGUUUAGGAUUUGAUUUAGGGUUUGAUUGGAAUUUGGUUUAGAGUUUGGUUAGGGUUUCAUUUAUAGUUUAGGAUUUGAUUUAGGGUUUGGUUUAAGGUUUGGUUGGGGUUUAGUUUAGAAUUUGUUUAGGAUUUGGUUUAGGGUUUGUUUAGGGUUUGGUUUAGGAUUGAGGGUUCGGUUAGAAUUUUAUUUAGGAUUUAGAGUUUGAUUAAGGUUUCAUUUAGGAUUUAGGAUUUGGUUUAGGAUUUGGUUAAGGUUUGAUUUAGGAUUUGGUUAGAAUUUGGUUUAGGGUUUGUUUAGGAUUUGAUUAGGAUUUGGUUUAAGACUUAGAAUUUGGUUAGGAUUUAGUUAGGAUUUAAGGUUUGGUUUAAGAUUUAGAAUUUGAUUUAAGAUUUAGGAUUUGGUUUAGGAUUUGUUUAGGAUUUGGUUAGAAUUUCGUUUAAGAUUUGGUUAGAGUUUGGUUUAGGAUUUAGGGUUUGGUUUAGAAUAUAGGAUUUGAUUUAGAAUUUAGGAUUUUAUUUGGGUUUGUUUAGGAUUUAAGAUUUAAUUAGUUUAGGCCUAAAGUUUGAAUGAAGUCU